UUACACCAGACAGACCACCUGACCAGGUGUGUUUACACCAGACAGACCACCUGACCAGGUGUGUUUACUCUAGACAGACCACCUGACCAGGUGUGUUUACUCUAGACAGACCACCUGACCAGGUGUGUUUACUCUAGACAGACCACCUGACCAGGUGUGUUUACUCUAGACAGACCACCUGACCAGGUGUGUUUACUCUAGACAGACCACCUGACCAGGUGUGUUUACACCAGACAGACCACCUGACCAGGUGUGUUUACACCAGAAAGACCUCCUAACAAGGUGGGUUUACACCAGACAGACCACCUGACCAGGUGUGUUUACUCUAGACAGACCACCUGACCAGGUGUGUUUACACCAGACAGACCACCUGACCAGGUGUGUUUACACCAGACAGACCACCUGACCAGGUGUGUUUACUCUAGACAGACCACCAGACCAGGUGUGUUUACUCUAGACAGACCACCUGACCAGGUGUCUUUACUCUAGAGUGACCACCUGACCAGGCGUGUUUACUGUAGCCAGACCACCUGACCAGGUGUGUUUACACUCGACAGACCACCAGACCCGAUGUGUUUCCAGGUACGUACCGCUGUGACGUGCAGGACUGGGCCCACCGCCGGGGGAAGCGGGCAUACUGGGGGGUGAGGGUCCUACCCCAGGGGGUGGUGGACCUGGACUACCCCGGUUCCCCGGCCCCCGGGCCCCAGAACCCAGACCGGAUCCAACUGUUCCUCACCUGCACUGUGCCCUACAUGGUGCUGGUGGGUCUGGGGGUGUCCACCGGUCUGGCAGGUCUGACCGUGAUGGGGCUCUACCGGGUCCUGGUCCGGGGUGGGGGGAUUAGCGGGAGCCAGGAGAACCAGGAGAUGGAGCCGCGGAGAGACAGAAAGACCCGGAGGUCUGACUUUGAGCGUUCCGGUGCUUGUCUGUCUGAGGUCGAAUCAUAACCGGACUGAGUCUGAUUAAACAAACUGAAAUACGCUGGCUCUUUGGUUCUACUAUCUGGUGAGUGAUGUGGAUGGCUCUACUUAUUAAGUGUUUCUUUUUUUGAGGAAAUACAUUUUUUGGGGCAUUUGAACCUUUAACAAAUCGUAGGAAGACGUCUCCUCCUGCGUCACCUCCUUUUUCUAUAUCAAAGAAGACGGCGGUAGCUGCAGUUGCAUGAUUG
RNAcentral lists this long non-coding RNA (1171 nucleotides) under Gadus morhua (Atlantic cod). RNAcentral describes it as "lncRNA (ENSGMOG00000032581.1)". Lineage: Eukaryota; Metazoa; Chordata; Actinopteri; Gadiformes; Gadidae. The record is from RNAcentral.